UGGGGAAUAUUGGACAAUGGGCGCAAGCCUGAUCCAGCAAUGCCGCGUGUGUGAAGAAGGCCUUCGGGUUGUAAAGCACUUUUAUCAGGAACGAAAUACCACGGGUUAAUACCCUAUGGGGCUGACGGUACCUGAGGAAUAAGCACCGGCUAACUUCGUGCCAGCAGCCGCGGUAAUACGAAGGGUGCAAGCGUUAAUCGGAAUUACUGGGCGUAAAGGGUGCGUAGGCGGUUCGUUAAGUCUGUCGUGAAAUCCCCGGGCUCAACCUGGGAAUGGCGAUGGAUACUGG
RNAcentral lists this ribosomal RNA (289 nucleotides) under uncultured Rhodanobacter sp. RNAcentral's name for it is "partial 16S ribosomal RNA". It matches the Rfam family "Bacterial small subunit ribosomal RNA", at positions 355 to 636 of the family's 1533-position model. Lineage: Bacteria; Pseudomonadati; Pseudomonadota; Gammaproteobacteria; Lysobacterales; Rhodanobacteraceae. The record is from RNAcentral.